Molecule: transfer RNA, 72 nt
Filed under: Piptocephalis tieghemiana
Lineage: Eukaryota; Fungi; Zoopagomycota; Zoopagomycetes; Zoopagales; Piptocephalidaceae
Description: tRNA-Gln
Rfam family: tRNA
About the family: Transfer RNA (tRNA) molecules are approximately 80 nucleotides in length. Their secondary structure includes four short double-helical elements and three loops (D, anti-codon, and T loops). Further hydrogen bonds mediate the characteristic L-shaped molecular structure. tRNAs have two regions of fundamental functional importance: the anti-codon, which is responsible for specific mRNA codon recognition, and the 3' end, to which the tRNAs corresponding amino acid is attached (by aminoacyl-tRNA synthetases). tRNAs cope with the degeneracy of the genetic code in two manners: having more than one tRNA (with a specific anti-codon) for a particular amino acid; and 'wobble' base-pairing, i.e. permitting non-standard base-pairing at the 3rd anti-codon position.
Source: RNAcentral
GGUCCUAUAGUGUAGUGGUUAGCACACGAGACUUUGACUCUUGAGACCUGGGUUCAAUUCCCAGUAGGACCU